This 391-nucleotide unclassified non-coding RNA is filed under the name soil metagenome. RNAcentral describes it as "partial contains 5.8S ribosomal RNA, internal transcribed spacer 2, and large subunit ribosomal RNA". The stretch from base 1 to 122 matches the Rfam family "5.8S ribosomal RNA", at positions 35 to 154 of the family's 154-position model. The record is from RNAcentral.
GAUGAAGAACGCAGCGAAAUGCGAUACUUGGUGUGAAUUGCAGAAUCCCGUGAACCAUCGAGUCUUUGAACGCAACUUGCGCCCGAAGCCAUUAGGCCGAGGGCACGCCUGCCUGGGCGUCACACGUCGUUGCCCCCCCAUCUACUCCUUCGGGAUUGCGGGGGGCGGAUGAUGGCCUCUCGUGCGCCUCGUCGCGCGGUUGGCCUAAAUGCCAAGUCCUCGGCGACGCACGCCACGACAAUCGGUGGUUGCGAAACCUCGGUUGCCUGUCGUGUGCGGUCGUCGCGCAUCGAGGGCUCGAAAAAAUUGCCGGGCUUCGGCUCGACUUUCAACGCGACCCCAGGUCAGGCGGGGUUACCCGCUGAAUUUAAGCAUAUCAAUAAGCGGAGGA